Molecule: ribosomal RNA, 360 nt
Filed under: Triticum aestivum (bread wheat)
Lineage: Eukaryota; Viridiplantae; Streptophyta; Magnoliopsida; Poales; Poaceae
Description: partial small subunit ribosomal RNA
Source: RNAcentral
CACGAAUUGAAUUAUGCUACGCAUGAUUUGGAGUUAGCAGCCGUAGUGCAUGCAUUGAAAACAUGGAGACAUUUCCUCAUUGGAAAUCAUUGUGAGGUGUACACGGAUCACAAGAGUUUGAAGUACAUUUUCACACAGAAGGAGUUGAGUAUCAGACAAAGGAGAUGGUUGGAGCUUAUCAAAGAUUAUGAUAUGAAAUUGCAUUAUUAUCCCGGGAAGGCUAAUGUAGUAGCUGAUGCAUUAAGCCGCAAGAGCCAUGUCAAUAGGUUAAUGAAGGGAGAAAUACCCAAGGAGUUAGCAGAUAAUCUUCAUGAACUAUGUUUGGAAAUAGUUUUGAGAGGCUAUGUAGCAGCACUAGAG